GUAGGGUGCAAGCGUUAAUCGGAAUUACUGGGCGUAAAGCGUGCGCAGGCGGUGAUGUAAGACAGAUGUGAAAUCCCCGGGCUCAACCUGGGAACUGCAUUUGUGACUGCAUCGCUGGAGUGCGGCAGAGGGGGAUGGAAUUCCGCGUGUAGCAGUGAAAUGCGUAGAUAUGCGGAGGAACACCGAUGGCGAAGGCAAUCCCCUGGGCCUGCACUGACGCUCAUGCACGAAAGCGUGGGGAGCAAACAGGAUUAGAUACCCUGGUAGUCCACGCCCUAAACGAUGUCAACUGGUUGUUGGGUCUUCACUGACUCAGUAACGAAGCUAACGCGUGAAGUUGACCGCCUGGGGAGUACGGCCGCAAGGUUG
This 369-nucleotide ribosomal RNA is filed under the name uncultured bacterium. RNAcentral's name for it is "bacterial SSU rRNA". It matches the Rfam family "Bacterial small subunit ribosomal RNA", at positions 527 to 896 of the family's 1533-position model. The record is from RNAcentral.